Small nucleolar RNA from Pangasianodon hypophthalmus (striped catfish), 86 nucleotides. RefSeq annotates it as small nucleolar RNA snR60/Z15/Z230/Z193/J17. The record is from RefSeq and is a predicted model, not a curated record. NCBI's taxonomy places the organism in Eukaryota, Metazoa, Chordata, Actinopteri, Siluriformes, Pangasiidae. The transcript has a single exon.
UUGAUGCAAGUGAUGAUUGCAUAGUUCAGCAGAACCUCCAUGUAGAACCAAUGCACAAUGUCUUUCGCUCCUAGCUGAUGCAUCAG